GACGAACGCUGGCGGCGUGCUUAACACAUGCAAGUCGAACGGAAAGGCCCUGCUUUUGUGGGGUGCUCGAUUGGCGAACGGGUGAGUAACACGUGAGUAACCUGCCCUUACUUUGGUAUAACUUCAUAAAACUGGGGCUAAUACCGCAUAGGAGCUUCUGCUGCCUGGUGGGGGUUGGAAAGUUUCGGCGGUUGGGGCUGGACUCGCGGCUUAUCAGCUUGUUGGUGGGGGAUUGGCUGACCAAGGCUUUGCCGGGUAGCCGGCCUGGGAGGGGGACCGGGCACAUUGGUACUGAGAUAGGGCCCAGUCGCCUACGGGAGGCAGCAGUGGGAAAUAUGGCACAGUGGGCGGAAGCCUGAUGCAGCAACGCCGCGUGCGGGAUGACGGCCUUCGGGUGAUAAACCGCUUUCGCCUUAGACGAAGCGUGAGUGACGGUAAUGGGUAAGAAAGCACCGGCUAACUACGUG
RNAcentral lists this ribosomal RNA (467 nucleotides) under uncultured bacterium. Its description in RNAcentral is "partial 16S ribosomal RNA". It matches the Rfam family "Bacterial small subunit ribosomal RNA", at positions 28 to 507 of the family's 1533-position model. The record is from RNAcentral.